RNAcentral lists this ribosomal RNA (637 nucleotides) under uncultured bacterium. Its description in RNAcentral is "bacterial SSU rRNA". It matches the Rfam family "Bacterial small subunit ribosomal RNA", at positions 202 to 839 of the family's 1533-position model. The record is from RNAcentral.
UAAAGAUCCGUCGGAUGAGGAUAGGCUCGCGUGACAUUAGCUUGACGGCGGGGUAACGGCCCACCGUGGCGACGAUGUCUAGGGGUUCUGAGAGGAAGGUCCCCCACACUGGAACUGAGACACGGUCCAGACUCCUACGGGAGGCAGCAGUGAGGAGUAUUGGUCAAUGGCCGGAAGGCUGAACCAGCCAUGCCGCGUGAAGGUCAGUGCCCUAUGGGCGUUAAACUUCUUUUGUGCGGGAGCAAUAAGGUCCACGUGUGGACCGACGAGAGUACCGUACGAAUAAGCAUCGGCUAACUCCGUGCCAGCAGCCGCGGUAAUACGGGGGAUGCAAGCGUUAUCCGGAUUUAUUGGGUUUAAAGGGUGCGUAGGCUGUGAGGUAAGUCAGCGGUGAAAUGCCCCCGCUCAACGGGGUGAAGUGCCAUUGAUACUGCCUUGCUGGAAUGCGGAUGCCGUGGGAGGAAUGUGUGGUGUAGCGGUGAAAUGCAUAGAUAUCACACAGAACACCGAUUGCGAAGGCAUCUCACGAAUCCGCUAUUGACGCUGAUGCACGAAAGCGUGGGUAUCAAACAGGAUUAGAUACCCUGGUAGUCCACGCUGUAAACGAUGAUGACUAACCGUCGGCGAUACACAGUCG